Molecule: ribosomal RNA, 253 nt
Filed under: uncultured bacterium
Lineage: Bacteria
Description: partial 16S ribosomal RNA
Rfam family: Bacterial small subunit ribosomal RNA
Source: RNAcentral
UACGUAGGCAGCGAGCGUUGUUCGGAAUCACUGGGCGUAAAGCGCACGUAGGCGGAUUUGUAAGUCAGGGGUGAAAUCCCGGGGCUCAACCUCGGAACUGCCUUUGAUACUGCGAAUCUUGAGUCCGAUAGAGGUGGGUGGAAUUCCUAGUGUAGAGGUGAAAUUCGUAGAUAUUAGGAAGAACACCAGUGGCGAAGGCGGCCCACUGGAUCGGUACUGACGCUGAGGUGCGAAAGCGUGGGGAGCAAACAGG